Molecule: ribosomal RNA, 22 nt
Filed under: uncultured Bacillota bacterium
Lineage: Bacteria; Bacillati; Bacillota
Description: uncultured Firmicutes bacterium partial 23S ribosomal RNA
Source: RNAcentral
UAAAUUAAUAAGGGCGCAUGGU